CCCCGGCUCCGGGAGGCGGGCGCGGCCGCUUCGGCCUCCCCCGCGGCGGCCGGCAGGCAGCGGCGGUGGACGAAGGUGCGCGUCACGGAACCGAUGGAGCCACACAGAGACGUCUAAGUCAUGCAGGAGGCGCCCGGCCCCGGCCCGCUCCCGCCGCCCCGACCCCUCCUCUCAUCCGACAGAAAGACAGACAAGAAGGGUUCCCGACCUGUCGUGCCCUGCAUGUUCAGAGUCUGUCAUGUUUGGUCAAGAACGGGGCGGGGCUGGAGGGCAGGUCUGGAGGCCGGCGGCGGCGGUGGCGGCGGCAGCGGGGCGCGGGGAGGACCCCUGCGCCGCCUGCGGGCAACCCUGUCCCCGGCCGCCGCCGACAGGUGACGAAGUGGUAAAAACUCACGGUUACUAGUGAGCGACACAGACACAGACUUUCCAGUCUAUUAACAACCAACGCCAGAGAGAUGGGGCUCUAACUGCAAAGACUGGGCAACGGCCCCGCGCUGCCGGCGCUGCCGCUCUAGUCUGUAUUCGCCGCCGGAGGCUGAGGCGUGGGAGCCGGCGGGCGGCGUGCAGCGACGCGGGGAUUUGGACAGUGGCCGUAACGGUGAUUUCUCCUCACCAACAUGGCGGCACCCGAAACAGGCGGCUCAGAAAAUGGCGCCGGCCGCAACACCUUGCCCGGGACUAAAGGGCAAGUGGAAUUCCUCCGCGAGCCGCGGCCCUCUCCCAGCCCGCCGGUGCCGAGCGCACUAGCCAUUGGAGGAAACUGCCCGUCAAUCACUUCCAGGGGCGGGCCUUUAAUACGCUCGCUGCGGCAGCGGAGGCAGCAAUCUGAUGGGUGUGAGGCCAGGGAUGCGGUUCGGUGGCGCGUGGAGUUAUAUCGGGCGGGGCAGGUCACCCCGCCAGGCCUGCUGUGUCCACCAGGUCCUCUGUGCCCAUUUCUCGAUGUUCCUGCGAGACUCGUCGUCUAAGGCUUUGGAGUUCCGGACUCAUCACACUGUCCCCCUCCACCCCGCCACCGUUAACUGCGCGACAAAGAAAGGAACCCAGGACUGGCGGUUUUCUUUGUUAAAAAGAAAGAAAGAAAGAAAAGCUUUCUUUGUUGCCGAAAGAACUCGGAAUCAUCCUUAAGCCCUUAAACUUGUAGCUGUUAUGUCUCCGUAGUGUAAGGAAGACUGCCUGCCAUGCAACUUUUUCUGAUACUAAAUUCACCCAGUCCUUACUUGACGAUUAAAAAUAGCUAUUGAGGUAAUUAAAACAUGAUCUUGUGUCUGUUAGCGGUUUAGAUGUGGAAUUCAUUCGAGUAUUUCAUAAGAACAAGACUUCAUUUCUUCGUAUGUCCAUGGCCUUCAGACGUAUUUCCAUAUCCUUCAGAAAUAGUCUUGAAAUGAUGAGUAAUGUAUACUUAGUUCUGAAGGAAAGUUAAUUUUUUUUAUUAAAAUGAUAAGCUUAAAUGUCCAAUAUUUCUAAAUACACGACGUCUUUUGUCUUUGAUGUGUAAAUAACGUGCAUUCAAAGAGCAAUUGCGAUUAGAUAAAUGUGAAAAGAGAAAAAAAGUUAUUUAGUUGAAUGCAGCUAUUGACAAGACUUGAACCCUGACAGAUCUUCACGGCCCAUUAUAGGAAACUUUCAAAAGGCACAUCUGUUUUAACUAGAGAAGCAAUAUUAUUAGUUUUUGGAACUAAAAUGUAAAGCCUCUUCAUUUAAUCGUUUUACUAGGAACAGUGAAAGGCUUUUGAGGUGUAACAGCUGCUCUUCACAACUGCAUUUUCUGCUUAGACAUUAAAAUAAUGAUUUAGGAUUUGAAUUUGAUUUUUUUUUUUAAUAAAAAGAAAAUCUUUGAACUGGUACACAUUUGAGUAUUGCUGUUUUCAAAUUCGUUUGGAAGUUUAAACGCACACCAAAAUAAAUUCUGGGCAUUAGCUUACUCAGAAAAACAACUUUUGAAAUGUUGCCUCCAGACAAAAUUAACAUACUGACACACUUGGAAGGUCCAAUUGUUGGCUAUCUAGGCCAACUCAAGCCACAAGGAAAGGAUUCCCUGUGGUGUACUCUAUUUGUAAACUUUAUAUACUUUAUAAACCCUCAAGGCAGGAAAGCCACAGCUCUCAGCUGGCUGAACACAAAGCAGUCAGGCCCCGCACCCAGACUUCCCUAACAGCCCUAAAGGUCAUCUUCUAAGGGCUACUGCAGUCAUUCAUUCGCAACCUGAGCUAUGAAAGUGGCCAAGAAAGUGCCCUACAAGAAAAAAAAAAAAAAUCCCGCCACCCCCUGAAAAGGAAGUCUCAUUAGUCCCUGGCUUGUCACAGAAACCAGUUCCUGAGCAUGAAAACCAACAAAUCCCUGAGCAGAAAAAUUCACCAAUCCCUGAAAAUACCAAACUCUGGACUUGAAAUCCCAACAGUCCUCAGCCUGGAAAACUGGACAGCUCCGCCCCCUAAGAAAUCCUAUGGAAGGCCUGCCUUCAGCUCAGUCAGGGGCUGUUUUCUCACCUGAGCAGAGGCAGCAGUCCUGCGGUUUUCUCUCCCAAUAAAUCCCUUGUGUGA
RNAcentral lists this long non-coding RNA (2540 nucleotides) under Mus musculus (house mouse). Its description in RNAcentral is "predicted gene 10762". The record is from RNAcentral. Lineage: Eukaryota; Metazoa; Chordata; Mammalia; Rodentia; Muridae.